AGAGUUUUAUCCUGGCUCAGGACGAACGCUGGCGGCGUGCUUAACACAUGCAAGUCGAGCGGGGAUUGAGGAUGGAGUUUUUCGGAACAAAGUCCUCAAUUCUAGCGGCGGACGGGUGAGUAACGCGUGAGCAAUCUGUCCUACACAGGGGGAUAACACUUGGAAACAGGUGCUAAUACCGCAUAAGACCACGAGGUCGCAUGGCCAUGGGGUAAAAGAAAUUCGGUGUAGGGUGAGCUCGCGUCCCAUUAGCUAGUUGGUGAGGUAACGGCCCACCAAGGCGACGAUGGGUAGCCGACCUGAGAGGGUGAUCGGCCACAUUGGAACUGAGACACGGUCCAGACUCCUACGGGAGGCAGCAGUGGGGAAUAUUGGGCAAUGGGCGCAAGCCUGACCCAGCAACGCCGCGUGAAGGAAGAAGGUUUUCGGAUUGUAAACUUCUGUCCUCAAUGACGAAUGAAAUGACGGUAAUUGAGGAGGAAGCCCCGGCUAACUACGUGCCAGCAGCCGCGGUAAUACGUAGGGGGCGAGCGUUGUCCGGAAUGACUGGGCGUAAAGGGCGUGUAGGCGGCCUGAUAAGUCUGAAGUGAAAGUCCUGCUUUCAAGGUGGGAAUUGCUUUGGAGACUGUCGGGCUUGAGUGCGGAAGAGGUAAGUGGAAUUCCCAGUGUAGCGGUGAAAUGCGUAGAGAUUGGGAGGAACACCAGUGGCGAAGGCGACUUACUGGGCCGUAACUGACGCUGAGGCGCGAAAGCGUGGGGAGCGAACAGGAUUAGAUACCCUGGUAGUCCAUGCUGUAAACGCCUGAAUAGGAGGUGUGGGCCGAANAGGUCCGUGCCGCAGUUAACACAAUAAGUNUCC
Molecule: ribosomal RNA, 859 nt
Filed under: uncultured bacterium
Lineage: Bacteria
Description: bacterial SSU rRNA
Rfam family: Bacterial small subunit ribosomal RNA
Source: RNAcentral